Molecule: long non-coding RNA, 2601 nt
Organism: Capra hircus (goat)
Lineage: Eukaryota; Metazoa; Chordata; Mammalia; Artiodactyla; Bovidae
Gene: PPP1R14C
Product: protein phosphatase 1 regulatory inhibitor subunit 14C
Exons: 4
Source: RefSeq, a predicted model, not a curated record
ACCUUUGCCAGGGACCUGCAGCUCCGUCCCUUUCCGCGUCGCCUGCACCCACCCCCCCCACCCCGCCCCCGGCGAUCGCCAGUCCCCCGGUAGCGCUGGCCAAGGCCGCUGGCGGCGGUGGGUUUCCUGCGCUUCGGGACGGCGGGAGAAGAGCAAUCCUUGUGUCCCGGGGCACAGAGCACGGUCAUCCGCGCAGAGGACCAUCCCUGGCGGCAGACCCUCACCAGUCCUCCCGGUGUCCACACCCCGGCGCCCGCGUCGUCUGCGCGCCCACAUUCGCUCCGCCGCGCGCAGCUCCCACGCCCCUGGCUGCUGCCUGCCGGGCGACGGAUCCGCCUCCCCGGUUGGACCGUGAGGGUCGUCGGCGGCGUCUUUAAGGCUGCGUCCCCGCCCCUGCCUCCUCCCCGCUCUCCCCCGCCCUCGCUUCUCCAGACCUCCCUGGAGCUGGCGGCGGCGAGGAGCAGGUGCCGGCGAAGCCUUCGCAUGCCGCUGCCCGGCCCGAGGUGGUAGCGGCGCCCGGCGCUCCGCCUGCCCUCCUCCGGGCCGCACUUGGCUCCUGCGCGCGCGGGGACAUGUCGGUGGCGACGGGCAGCAGCGAGGCGGCCGGCGGAGCCGCGGGCAGCGGUGCGCGGGUUUUCUUCCAGAGUCCCCGGGGCGGUGCCGGCGGCAGCCCGGGCUCGAGCAGCGGCUCGGGCUCCUCCCGGGAGGACUCGGCGCCCGUGGCCACCGCGGCUCCCGCCGGGCACGUUCAGCAGCAGCAGCAGCAGCAGCAGCGGCGCCACCAGCAGGGAAAAGUGACGGUAAAAUACGAUCGCAAGGAGCUUCGGAAACGGCUCGUGCUGGAGGAGUGGAUCGUGGAGCAGCUGGGACAGCUGUAUGGCUGCGAGGAAGAAGAAAUGCCCGAUGUGGAAAUUGACAUUGAUGAUCUUCUUGAUGCAGACAGUGAAGAAGACAGGGCUUUAAAAUUACGAGAAGCUCUUGUAGACUGCUACAAACCAACAGAGGAGUUCAUUAAGGAGCUGCUCUCUCGGAUAAGAGGCAUGAGGAAAUUGAGCCCCCCACAGAAGAAGGCUGUAUAAUUCCAGCCCAGGUGGAACUCUGCUGGAGAUGCAGGGAGGAAUUUGGACUUCACGAAGACUUUUCUUAAAGAACUGUUGUCCUUAUGAGCAACUUUUUUGGGGGUGGGGAGGGGUGAUAUCUAUUAGACAUUUAUUCAAGAGUGUUCCUUUUUUGGUUUUUAAAGGUUUGGUUGGUGUAAUAUUUUAAUAGCAAAGAUAUCACAGACUCUGGCUUCAGCCCAACCAGAGAGCAUCAAAUCAGGCAGACACGCAAGGAGGGGCUGGACCAGGCAGCAUCUUCUUGGAGAAACCAGAUAUUAAGGACCUAAUGAUACAGGGAUGAUGGUUUUCUUACAGCUAGUUUGGUAAUGCUUUUUUCUUGAGUUGUACAUUUGACACAAAGGUCAAAUUUCUUGUACUUGUAUAUAUCUACAGGCAACUAAGUUAAAAUGUGGAUGUGAGUUUUAUUUCACAUGGAUGGAAUAAACUUGUGGUCAUCCUUUAAUUGGAGGUCAUGGCAUGUGUGUUUUCAAAAGGCCGCUAGGUCUUCUCAUGUGAGUGCUGGAGACCGCCAAUGUUCACUUUCUGCACCAAAGUGAAAAGAACUCAGCGUAUCCGUUAUUUUAAUGAGCUACACUACGACAAUGUGGAGUUGGUCAAGGGCUUAAUUUAUGGACUUUGUAUUAUUCUGUUAAUCGGGAUGCUUCGCCAGGUCAUGUACUUAUUGCCUCAUUUGUGGUAUUUUAAAGUUUUCUGAACCCUUUCUUUGAAUGACUAUUUGAAUUUCUCGAGAAACGUUCACACUAUCUGAGGGGUGUUUGGCGGUGGAACCAGGAAGCACCGUGUAGCAAUUCAUUCUGUGCUUUCUACCAAAUACCAUAUAUUAUUCUCUCUCCAUGAAAGCAGGUCAUAAGGAAGUGAGCAGAUUCAAUAUCUUCCUCCUUAGAGGUAGAUCUGGGCACUUCUGUGCCUGGGGGGCAUCAAACCAGAGUGGGUGAGCUGAGCGAUGAGUGGGUGUACAACUGAGAAAACCUCGGCUCCUCUGGAGAAAGUCAAUGCAGGAGCAUUGGCUGGUUUGGAAGUGUGGUAGAGAUUUCCUUUCUGGCUUCUCUCAGUGGCUUAUGGUGAGGACUCUGGCCCUAAUUGUGCACCCUGAUCUGAUCCCUUUGCUUGGAGCUGAGCCUGGGGCACCUGCUGAGCCCCUCUCAGUUUUAUACCAGCUCCUUGGAGAAGGAUCAAAAUGCAGCUGAAUGUGGGUGGGGUCAAAGGUCAGAGUAGAAACUCUUGGUGUCCUCCAGGAAGCCGCCACUGCCUCCCAUAGAAACCCCCCUCCCUACUGUAAGGUGUCUCUAGGUGGCCCUGUCAGAGGACAGGGGUCAGGCAUUUUAUAUCAAGGGUGCUCUGAACAUAUUUUAUUUUUUAAAAAAACUAUGUUUGUGAAUUUUAUGUACACUGGCAAGCUUUGAAAAUGUAUUUAAUUUUGUAAUGUUUACCAAUGAUUUAUUUACAAGCUAUUUACUCAAAUAAACAAAGCUGCUUACAA